UGUUGUUCGUGCUGCGGAGUAACGUUA
This 27-nucleotide small RNA is filed under the name Bombyx mori (domestic silkworm). RNAcentral's name for it is "ovarian small RNA-36202". The record is from RNAcentral. Lineage: Eukaryota; Metazoa; Arthropoda; Insecta; Lepidoptera; Bombycidae.